This 464-nucleotide ribosomal RNA is filed under the name uncultured bacterium. RNAcentral's name for it is "bacterial SSU rRNA". It matches the Rfam family "Bacterial small subunit ribosomal RNA", at positions 330 to 792 of the family's 1533-position model. The record is from RNAcentral.
CCCAGACUCCUACGGGAGGCAGCAGUGAGGAAUAUUGGUCAAUGGCCGCAGGGCUGAACCAGCCAAGUCGCGUGAGGGAUGACGGUCCUAUGGAUUGUAAACCUCUUUUGUCAGGGAGCAAAGGGCGCCACGUGUGGCGUUUUGCGAGUACCUGAAGAAAAAGCAUCGGCUAACUCCGUGCCAGCAGCCGCGGUAAUACGGAGGAUGCGAGCGUUAUCCGGAUUUAUUGGGUUUAAAGGGUGCGCAGGCGGGACGUUAAGUCGGCGGUAAAAAUGCGGAGCCCAACUCCGUCGAGCCGUUGAAACUGCCGUUCUUGAGUGAGCGAGAAGUAUGCGGAAUGCGUGGUGUAGCGGUGAAAUGCAUAGAUAUCACGCAGAACUCCGAUUGCGAAGGCAGCAUACCGGCGCUCAACUGACGCUGAAGCACGAAGGCGUGGGUAUCGAACAGGAUUAGAUCCCCGCGUA